This 251-nucleotide ribosomal RNA is filed under the name uncultured bacterium. Its description in RNAcentral is "partial 16S ribosomal RNA". It matches the Rfam family "Bacterial small subunit ribosomal RNA", at positions 524 to 776 of the family's 1533-position model. The record is from RNAcentral.
UACGUAGGGUGCAAGCGUUAUUCGGAUUUAUUGGGUUUAAAGGGUGCGUAGGCGGCUUUUCAAGUCGAUGGUGAAAUCUUGGCGCUCAACACCAAAAUGGCCGUCGAUACUAAAGAGCUUGAGUUAAGAUUAGGUAGGCAGAAUUUAUGGUGUAGCGGUGAAAUGCGUAGAUAUCAUAAGGAAUUCCAAUAGCGUAGGCAGCUUGCUAGUCUUAUCUGACGCUGAGGCACGAAAGGCGGGUAGCAAACAGG